Molecule: non-coding RNA, 953 nt
Organism: Chelonoidis abingdonii (Abingdon island giant tortoise)
Lineage: Eukaryota; Metazoa; Chordata; Testudines; Testudinidae
Source: RefSeq, a predicted model, not a curated record
CUCACCUACAGCAGAAUGGAAGAAUAAAGGCUAUAACAUACUACCACACUUUCUACAUAGAUAUAAAGUUAAGGGAGGGAGGAAAGGUGAUAGCCUGGGAUGCUGAGACCCAGGCUUAAUGCCGUGCUCCAGCAGAGACAGCUUGUGUAACUUUGGAUCUAGCCCUAUGUGUCUUGAUCAGAAGAGGUAGGUGCCUGAGUCCAAAAUUUAGAUCCUCAAAACCCAUACUAUUUCUACUGAUUAAAAUCUCCAUAGUGUCAAAGGUCAGUAGGCAUGUACACCACUGCUUAAAUCCUGAUGCUGAGUAUGUGACUUAGGGAAAGGUCUAGUCUGAGCUCUUGCAUUUGUCUGGCAGGGGCCCAAUAGGCUAGAUGUCCUCAGAUGUAUCUCUAUACAAUGCUUACGGGAUCAGGCCCUGCACAAAACAGCAGAAGGUGGUGUUUUAUCCAAUACUGCAUGGGUUACAGCACUUCAGUGGGAGGUGGGAAACCUAGAUUCAAGCCCCCUUCUCUGCUCUGCCCCCUCACUCCCAGAAAGAGGAGCAUGGAUGUGAAACCUGGGUCUUUUGCAGCCUGGGUGAAUGUGCUAACCACUGUUUUUUGGAUGUCAGGGGCCACCAUGAUUCUUUGUCAGAGCGGGCUACCUAGGUUUAGGCACCUAAUUCCAGAAGAGAGGCUGUAAAUGAUAAGUGGUGACUGGACUGUCUCUCCCACCCUGCCUGAAGCACAUACCCCUGUCCUCAGCAUUUUGUAUUGGAUAAUUUAGGUGGUUUCCCCCCUCAGCUUGUUGCCUUUUGUGGGUCCUGUUCUAGGUACCUAGGGCUCCCCUAGGAAGGCCAACAGGAAUCUUGCAUAUGUAACUAUUUGUCCCUAUGUAUCUAAUAGCUCUAAACACACUGAGUCAAGUAACUCAGAUUCCAGGAUUAACAUCUCAUAUGUGACAGUUACUUCAAA